GACGAACGCUGGCGGCGUGCUUAACACAUGCAAGUCGAACGGUGAAGCUCCAGCUUGCUGGAGUGGAUCAGUGGCGAACGGGUGAGUAACACGUGAGCAACCUGCCCCUGACUCUGGAAUAAGCGCUGGAAACGGCGUCUAAUCCUGGAUACGAGAAGGGUCCGCAUGGGCACUUUCUGGAAAGUUUUUCGGUUGGGGAUGGGCGCGCGGCCUAUCAGCUUGUUGGUGAGGUAAUGGCUCACCAAGGCAACGACGGGUAGCCGGCCUGAGAGGGCGACCGGCCACACUGGGACUGAGAGACGGCGCAGACUCCUACGGGAGGCAGCAGUGGGGAAUAUUGCACAAUGGGCGAAAGCCUGAUGCAGCGACGCCGCGGGAGGGAUGACGGCCUUCGGGUUGUAAACCUCUUUCAGCAGGGAAGAAGCGAAAGUGACGGUACCUGCAGAAGAAGCACCGGCUAACUACGUG
This 468-nucleotide ribosomal RNA is filed under the name uncultured bacterium. Its description in RNAcentral is "partial 16S ribosomal RNA". It matches the Rfam family "Bacterial small subunit ribosomal RNA", at positions 28 to 507 of the family's 1533-position model. The record is from RNAcentral.